UGGGGAAUAUUGCACAAUGGGCGCAAGCCUGAUGCAGCCAUGCCGCGUGUGUGAAGAAGGCCUUCGGGUUGUAAAGCACUUUCAGCGAGGAGGAAGGUGGUGAACUUAAUACGUUCAUCAAUUGACGUUACUCGCAGAAGAAGCACCGGCUAACUCCGUGCCAGCAGCCGCGGUAAUACGGAGGGUGCAAGCGUUGAUCGGAAUUACUGGGCGUAAAGCGCACGCAGGCGGUUUGUUAAGUCAGAUGUGAAAUCCCCGGGCUCAACCUGGGAACUGCAUUUGAAACUGGCAAGCUAGAGUCUCGUAGAGGGGGGUAGAAUUCCAGGUGUAGCGGUGAAAUGCGUAGAGAUCUGGAGGAAUACCGGUGGCGAAGGCGGCCCCCUGGACGAAGACUGACGCUCAGGUGCGAAAGCGUGGGGAGCAAACAGGAUUAGAUACCCUGGUAGUCCACGCUGUAAACGAUGUCGAUUUUGGAGGUUGUGCCCUUGAGGCGUGGCUUCCGGAGCUAACGCGUUAAAUCGACCGCCUGGGGAGUACGGCC
This 541-nucleotide ribosomal RNA is filed under the name uncultured bacterium. RNAcentral's name for it is "partial 16S ribosomal RNA". It matches the Rfam family "Bacterial small subunit ribosomal RNA", at positions 355 to 887 of the family's 1533-position model. The record is from RNAcentral.